This is a long non-coding RNA of Rosa rugosa (rugosa rose), 933 nucleotides long. RefSeq lists it as uncharacterized. The transcript is spliced from 3 exons. The record is from RefSeq and is a predicted model, not a curated record. NCBI's taxonomy places the organism in Eukaryota, Viridiplantae, Streptophyta, Magnoliopsida, Rosales, Rosaceae.
CCUAUCCCACUAUCAACCUAAUCGAGUCUCUCUCUCUCAGACUCAAACAUAGGCCGCCUCUCUCUCACACAGUCUCUCUCAAACCCUCUGUUCCUUCGGAGUCCAGACAGCAAACCUAUACUUCUCCGCCGCCAGCCACCACAUCCGGCGUUUUUGGACCAACAGAGACUUGCGACUACUCCUUCAGAGUCCAGACCAGCAAACCUAUCUUCUCCGCCGCAGAUCGAGACUUGUUCUGGUAGGCUUGCGACGACUCGGACCGUAGAUCGAGGAGCAGACGGAGUCGGCGACGCGAGCUGAGGCUGUGAUGUUGACAGUGGGGAGUUCCGACGCGAUCUGAGGCAGUGGAGUAGGCGACGUCGACGCAUAAGGUGUGGACUUCGUUCCCAAUCUUCGUUAUGCAUCCACCGCCGACGCAGAAGCACUCUCAGAGCGAAAACAGAGACCGGUGAUCUCCUUAGAGGCUCAGAGGCCCCAGACUGUGAAGAAGCAGAUUGUGAAGAAGCGCCUCAAGCAGUUCAAGAGGCUUCAGACUGACAGGAAGAUAUGUGUCAAGGUCCUUUGCAGGUCCUAUAUAUUAAUUAUAUGGAGUGCUUCAGUUUUUGUAGCCUUAGUGGCUUAGUGCCUCUGCAAACCAUGUUUCAAUACAGUUUUUGUAACUAAGUUUACCACUUCUUGUAAAUUGAUGAAGUCAUGAUGUCAUGAACACAUGAGCAGUUUUUGUAUCAAAGUGUCAAGCAUUGCUCAUUUUUUGUAGCUUCAGUGGCUUAGUGCCUCUGCGCAAUUUCAUUUCAAUUUCAAAUCCACCACUUGAUUAGUAAGAAUGUGAGUUAGUUUAUGUGGGAUUUGUAGAUAUUUGUAAUUAACUCAGGUUCUCAAAUCUCUAGUAUUCAGUUUCAUAUGUAUAUAUAUGUACCUUUUUUUUUCCCUUCA